GGACAAUUUGGUACUACAAAGAACCAAACAUACAACAUAAUCAAAAACUCAAACCCUAGCCAUUCAAACAACCUUAUCAUUCAUCACUUCCGGCAAACGGCGAUGUCUCAUUUCGGUAGAUCUGGUCCACCGGACAUCAAAGAUACAUUCUCUUUGCUAGUUCUCAACGUUACUUUCCGUACCACUGCUGAUGAUUUGUUUCCGUUAUUCGAUAAGUAUGGAAAAGUCGUUGAUGUCUUUAUCCCUAGAGACCGAAGGACUGGAGAUUCUAGGGGUUUUGCAUUUGUGCGCUACAAGUAUCAGGAUGAGGCUCAAAAGGCAGUGGAAAAGCUCGAUGGAAGAGUUGUAGAUGGGCGGGAAAUAAUGGUUCGAUUUGCAAAGUACGGCCCAAAUGCUGAGAGAAUUGACAAAGGUAGAAUUUUGGAGCCUGUAGAUAGGACAAAAGGAAGGUCAAGAAGCCGCAGUCCAAGGCCAAGGCAUCGAGAUCAUUAUAGGGACAGGGAUUCUAAAAGGAGAAGCCGAAGUAGAAGUAGAGGGAGGUAUGACCGUGAUCAGUACUGUGGGAGAGACAAAGAUUACCGUCAUCGGAGCAGAAGUCGCAGCCCUGAUUACCACAAAGGUCGUGGGAGAGGUAAAUAUGAUGAGGAGAGACGCAGCCGAAGUCGGUCUCAUGGAAGUGCCUCCCCUGCUCGCCGAAGCCCCUCCCCUGCUCGCCGUAGCCCCUCCCCCGCUCGCCAUAGCCCCAUUCCUCGAAGGAUCCCUUCUCCAUGUAGAACAACCACUUCUAGAGAUUCUAGUCCAGAUGGACGUAAUCACAAGGGCCGGUCUCCUACUCCAAAGAGUAUCUCACCGCGGGGUAGACGUGCUGGUUCUCGCAGCCCCUUGCCGCAUUCUGAUGCUGAUGAUUAAGAAGCAAGGGAGGAGGCCACGGUUGUAAUCUGGCUUUGGUUGAUGCUGCGUAUCAGGACAUUCCCAAAUGAAUGAUCCUUUCAUCUGUAUUCUGCUUGCUAGAACUGAUUGGCCCGACUUAUUUAUAAGCUCCGUGAAAAGUCAGUGUGGCUGAAUCACAAGAUGAUGCAGCAGUUGUUGAUGCUGUUAUAUUUGCUGUUGGUUGUAAUUUUGUUGCUGGUUUGUUCGCUGAAUGGCAAGGAGAUGCAGCAGCUGUAGAAUGCUAUUUUAACUUGGCUCAUAAUAAUUUGUUGCUGGUGACAUACUACUGUUUGUUGGUUGAAUGGCAAGCAGAUGCUGCAGCUGUUGGUGCUGUUUUAGCUUUGCUGUUGUAAUUUUGUUGCCGGUGACAAAUUACCAUUCCUAUACAAAUGUUCAGGAUGCUCAUGAUCGGUAAGGAUAAGAAACUCCUGAAUUACUAAAGUCACGCUAGGUUUAUGCCUUUGGCCUGACAACCAUUUCA
Lycium ferocissimum is the source of this 1411-nucleotide RNA transcript. It is a transcript of the gene named serine/arginine-rich splicing factor SC35-like, with no coding region annotated. The transcript has 9 exons. NCBI's taxonomy places the organism in Eukaryota, Viridiplantae, Streptophyta, Magnoliopsida, Solanales, Solanaceae. The record is from RefSeq and is a predicted model, not a curated record.